CGUAAAGAACUUGCCUCACAGAUAGGGACAACAUUGGAACGAAUGCUAAUACCUGAUAUUAUGAUUUUAGGGCAUCCUAGGAUUAUGAAAGCUAUAUGCGCUGUGAGAGAGCUUUGCGUCCCAUUAGCUAGUUGGAGAGGUAACGGCUCACCAAGGCGAUGAUGGGUAGCCGGCCUGAGAGGGUGAUCGGCCACAAGGGGACUGAGACACUGCCCUU
RNAcentral lists this ribosomal RNA (217 nucleotides) under uncultured bacterium. Its description in RNAcentral is "partial 16S ribosomal RNA". It matches the Rfam family "Bacterial small subunit ribosomal RNA", at positions 116 to 334 of the family's 1533-position model. The record is from RNAcentral.